CCCCACUGCUAUCGGGGUGGGACUAAAACAUGCAAGUCGAGCGCCUCCAAGCUAUGGUGAAGGCGCGGCAAACGGCUCAGUAACACGUGGCCAACCUACCCUUGGGACGGAGACAACCCCGGGAAACUGGGGCUAAUCCCCGAUAAGUAAGGAAUCCUGGAAUGGAUCUUUGCUGAAAGGGCGUCUGGACCAUGCUUCUUGACGUCGCCCAAGGAUGGAGCCGCGACCGAUCAGGUAGUUGGCGAGGCAACGGCUCACCAAGCCUAUAACCGGUACGGGCCGUGAGAGCGGGAGCCCGGAGAUGGGCACUGAGACAAGGGCCCAGGCCCUACGGGGCGCAGCAGUUGCGAAAACUCCGCAAUGCGCGAAAGCGUGACGGGGCUACCCCGAGUGCCGCCCGUUGAGGGCGGCUUUUCCACGGUGUAAGGAGCCGUGGGAAUAAGGAGAGGGCAAGACUGGUGUCAGCCGCCGCGGUAAUACCAGCUCUCCGAGUGGUGGGGACGAUUAUUGGGCUUAAAGCGUUCGUAGCCGGCUUAACAAGUCUUCCGUUAAAUCCAACGAUCUAAUCGUUGGGCUGCGGGAGAUACUGUUGGGCUAGGAGGCGGGAGGAGCCGACGGUAUUCUCGGGGUAGGGGUGAAAUCCUGUAAUCCCGGGAGGACCACCAGUGGCGAAGGCGGUCGGCUAGAACGCGCUCGACGGUGAGGGACGAAAGCUGGGGGAGCGAACCGGAUUAGAAACCCGGGUAGUCCCAGCUGUAAACGAUGCGGGCUAGGUGUUGGGGUGGCCACGAGCCACUUCAGUGCCGCAUGGAAGCAAUUAAGCCCGCCGCCUGGGGAGUACGGCCGCAAGGCUGAAACUUAAAGGAAUUGGCGGGGGAGCACCACAAGGCGUGAAGCUUGCGGUUU
Molecule: ribosomal RNA, 906 nt
Filed under: uncultured archaeon
Lineage: Archaea
Description: bacterial SSU rRNA
Rfam family: Archaeal small subunit ribosomal RNA
Source: RNAcentral